CCUACGGGGGACAGCAGUGAGGAAUAUUGGUCAAUGGACGAGAGUCUGAACCAGCCAAGUAGCGUGAAGGAUGACUGCCCUAUGGGUUGUAAACUUCUUUUAUAUGGGAAUAAAAUGUUCGACGCGUUGGAUUUUGUAUGUACCAUACGAAUAAGGAUCGGCUAACUCCGUGCCAGCAGCCGCGGGAAUACGGAGGAUUCGAGCGUUAUCCGGAUUUAUUGGGUUUAAAGGGAGCGUAGGUGGAUUGUUAAGUCAGUUGUGAAAGUUUGCGGCUCAACCGUAAAAUUGCAGUUGAAACUGGCAGUCUUGAGUACAGUAGAGGUGGGCGGAAUUCGUGGUGUAGCGGUGAAAUGCUUAGAUAUCACGAAGAACUCCGAUUGCGAAGGCAGUUCACUGGACUGCAACUGACACUGAGGCUCGAAAGUGUGGGUAUCAAACAGGAUUAGAUACCCCUGUAGUC
RNAcentral lists this ribosomal RNA (460 nucleotides) under uncultured bacterium. RNAcentral describes it as "partial 16S ribosomal RNA". It matches the Rfam family "Bacterial small subunit ribosomal RNA", at positions 338 to 795 of the family's 1533-position model. The record is from RNAcentral.